GACAGAGGUGCCGAGCGUUAGGCGGAAUCACUGGGCUUAAAGCGUGUGUAGGCGGACCGUUAAGUACCUUGUGAAAUCCCACGGCUCACCCGUGGAACGGCUGGGUAGACUGGCGGUCUUGGGCCACCUAGGGGCAGAUGGAACAGACGGUGGAGCGGUGAAAUGCGUAGAUAUCUGGAGGAACACCGGUGGCGAAGGCGGCAUCCUGGACCGGCAUUGACGCUGAGGCGCGAAAGCCAGGGGAGCAAACGGG
RNAcentral lists this ribosomal RNA (253 nucleotides) under uncultured bacterium. RNAcentral's name for it is "partial 16S ribosomal RNA". It matches the Rfam family "Bacterial small subunit ribosomal RNA", at positions 524 to 776 of the family's 1533-position model. The record is from RNAcentral.